This 465-nucleotide ribosomal RNA is filed under the name uncultured bacterium. RNAcentral's name for it is "partial 16S ribosomal RNA". It matches the Rfam family "Bacterial small subunit ribosomal RNA", at positions 28 to 507 of the family's 1533-position model. The record is from RNAcentral.
GACGAACGCUGGCGGCGUGCUUAACACAUGCAAGUCGAACGGAAAGGCCCUGCUUGCAGGGUACUCGAGUGGCGAACGGGUGAGUAACACGUGGGUGAUCUGCCCUGCACUUCGGGAUAAGCCUGGGAAACUGGGUCUAAUACCGGGUAGGUGCCUUCUUUAGUGUGAUGGUUGGUUAGCAUUUUCGGUGUAGGAUGAGCUCGCGGCCUAUCAGCUUGAUGGGGGGGUAAUGGCCUACCAAGGCGGCGACGGGUAGCCGGCCUGAGAGGGUGGACGGCCACAUUGGGACUGAGAUACGGCCCAGACUCCUACGGGAGGCAGCAGUGGGGAAUAUUGCACAAUGGGCGCAAGCCUGAUGCAGCGACGCCGCGGGGGGGAUGACGGCCUUCGGGUUGGAAACUCCUUUCGCUAGGGACGAAGCUUUUUGUGACGGUACCUAGAUAAGAAGCACCGGCUAACUACGUG